Molecule: ribosomal RNA, 790 nt
Filed under: Mycobacterium tuberculosis 02_1987
Lineage: Bacteria; Bacillati; Actinomycetota; Actinomycetes; Mycobacteriales; Mycobacteriaceae
Description: bacterial LSU rRNA
Rfam family: Bacterial large subunit ribosomal RNA
Source: RNAcentral
UGUAGGAUAGGUGGGAGACUGUGAAACCUCGACGCCAGUUGGGGCGGAGUCGUUGUUGAAAUACCACUCUGAUCGUAUUGGGCAUCUAACCUCGAACCCUGAAUCGGGUUUAGGGACAGUGCCUGGCGGGUAGUUUAACUGGGGCGGUUGCCUCCUAAAAUGUAACGGAGGCGCCCAAAGGUUCCCUCAACCUGGACGGCAAUCAGGUGGCGAGUGUAAAUGCACAAGGGAGCUUGACUGCGAGACUUACAAGUCAAGCAGGGACGAAAGUCGGGAUUAGUGAUCCGGCACCCCCGAGUGGAAGGGGUGUCGCUCAACGGAUAAAAGGUACCCCGGGGAUAACAGGCUGAUCUUCCCCAAGAGUCCAUAUCGACGGGAUGGUUUGGCACCUCGAUGUCGGCUCGUCGCAUCCUGGGGCUGGAGCAGGUCCCAAGGGUUGGGCUGUUCGCCCAUUAAAGCGGCACGCGAGCUGGGUUUAGAACGUCGUGAGACAGUUCGGUCUCUAUCCGCCGCGCGCGUCAGAAACUUGAGGAAACCUGUCCCUAGUACGAGAGGACCGGGACGGACGAACCUCUGGUGCACCAGUUGUCCCGCCAGGGGCACGCUGGAUAGCCACGUUCGGUCAGGAUAACCGCUGAAAGCAUCUAAGCGGGAAACCUUCUCCAAGAUCAGGUUUCUCACCCACUUGGUGGGAUAAGGCCCCCCGCAGAACACGGGUUCAAUAGGUCAGACCUGGAAGCUCAGUAAUGGGUGUAGGGAACUGGUGCUAACCGGCCGAAAACUUACAACA